This 3685-nucleotide long non-coding RNA is filed under the name Panax ginseng (ginseng). RNAcentral's name for it is "long non-coding RNA (PGIN_LNC003944)". Lineage: Eukaryota; Viridiplantae; Streptophyta; Magnoliopsida; Apiales; Araliaceae. The record is from RNAcentral.
UUUCCUUUGUUCGUGCCUGAGCCUUCAGGUUGCUCAUACAUAACUGAAAACAUUUAAUUUAAGCAAGGAUGAGCAUUUGAGUGCCCAGCAAGUAAUAGCAAUUAUAUAUAUAAGCUGAAAGAAUAUAAGUAUUCUCUUUACAUAACACUUCUACAACGAAUCAAAAGUUGUGAAGUAAUCUGUACUGAUAAAAGAUUCACAUAACAACUCUCUUUCAAUUUCUUGAAAUUAGGCUCCACCCAUGAAUAGGGUUUAAGAAACAUACUAUGAACAUUGUUUUUCAUUUUCGAAAAGGUUUAGCAGAAAUUCAUCCGCAAACCGUCAUAACUUACGGGCACGGAGGGUGAUCAGCCCCGUUGUACCCUGUAUUGAUCAAUACUACAUAACUUGAACGAAAUUCAUCGCUCACCCUUUGUCCGCCGAAGCGCAUAAAAAUUUUCCCAUUAUCGGGAUGUUCAUACAUGCCUGGUUCCAAACCCGAAGGUUUUUAAUCUUGCUCAACAAUAAUAUGUAAUUCAACAUAUAUGUAUACGGGUAAUUGACAAAGGUAUAUCAACAUGUGAAUAAAUGCCAUGAUUAUCCAAGUGGGGACACUUGUAUAACCAUUUAGAAAUCAACUUAACAGAAUAUAUAUCUGAGCUAACAUGUUGAUAAUCAAAGCGUACAUAAUCUGUACAGGAAUAGAAUAAUUCUGAAACUUCUUACUCAUGUCCAUUGCAUAAAGGAAAUGCAAAGGUAAGAUACUUGCCUGAUUCGCUGAUUACAAAUCUCAACUUAGGUUUUAUCUCUUUAUCACAACCUAUCAAUAAUCAGAUCAUUCGUUCGAUUAGAACAAUAUAUCAUAACACAUAGUACUGUCUAUUACAGUCAGCACAUAGUCUAAUCACGUCAUCACAUAAUCGCAGUGAUCAUACUUUUAGUUCAUAUUCUAUACUUGAAAUAUUUUUAUACAUUUUUCAAAUAUCUCAUCCAUGCUCUUACAGAAGUCUUUUCUUUCUAUUAUAGGGUCUGACAUUUGUCGGCGUACCGACAGCUUUAUCGGGUAAAUACUGAGUCUAAGACUCUUAUCCUAUACCUCAACAUCUGUAAAUAUCAAACAUUUUAUUUUUAAUCAUUUUCGAAUUUUCCAGAAAUUGAAAAAUUUAAAAUAAUUCAAAUCUGUCACUACCGGGCCUAUAGUGAUAUAACUGUUACUAUAGGUGUUCCUCAAAACUUCAUAACUUCAUAAUCGGUUCUCAAGUCAGCUAGUUUGGCCGGCUAUAACUUUCAAACAUCGGAAUCAUAAUUAAAUGAUUUAAACAUUAAACAAUUCCAUUAUCAUUAAUAAUUAAUUUAUAUUAAACUAUUAAUGAAACCAUUGCCAAAAUAUAAAAGUUAUUUAUAAUAACUCAAACUAUUUUUAAAACAUUUAUAUUACCCUUAAAUGAUUUUUAAAACAAUUAAAAUCAUUUUUAAAUAAUCACCAUUAAUAUAUAAAUAUUAAUGUACUAUUCAUCCAAAUAUUAAAAGUCAUUAAUUAUAACUUAAAAUAUUUUUAAAUCCUUAAUAUCCUCUUUAAAUGAUUUUUAAAUAAAUAAAACCAUUUUUAAACUAUUUAUUUAAUAAUAAUUAUUAAAUAAACUAAAUAUCAUUAAUAUUAUCUUAAUAUCAUUAAUAUUAAAUUAUUAAUGAAAUUAUCCUUUAAAUAUUAAAAGUUAUAUUUUAUAACUUAAAAUAUUUUUAAAUACCUUAAUUUCAUUUAAAAUGAUUUUUAUAAUAUUAAAAUCAUUUUUAAACUAAAUUAUUUAAUAUAAUCAUUAAAUAACUUUAAUAUCAUUAAUAUAUAAUUAAUUAAUGAAAUUCAUCACAAAAUAUUAAAAGUCAUGGGAAAUAACUUAAAAUAUUUUCUUAUACCAUAAUAUAAUUUUUCAUGAUUUUUCAUGAAUUAAAACUAUUUUUAAAUCAUUUAUUUAAUAUUAUAAUUAAAUAAAUAAAUACCUUUUAUAUUCCAAAAAUAUUAAAUAUUUAUGAAAUAUACUCAAAAUAAUUAAAAACUAUUUUUCAGACUUUAAAAUAAUUUUUCAUAAUUUAUUUGGUAUUUUUAAUAAUUAAAAUCUAAUUUUUCUAAUUUUUAAAUCAUUUUUCGGAAAAUCAGAAAUUAAAAUAAUUAAAACUGUCGCUAAAGGCCCCUAUAGUGACAGAAGUGUCGCUAUAGGUGUUCUUGAGCCUACCCAGAUCUUCAUAAGGCAGAACCGAGUGGCCUACUUUGACCGUGAAUAACUCUCUCAUCUUAACGAAUUUGGACAAUCUAUAAAUUGGGUCUUGUAGAGGAAAUACAAGACUACAAGAUCCAACAAUCAUAACCUCUAAACAAACAUCAGAUCUGGGAUAAAUCAGCCAUCAAAGUAGCUACCAAAGCUGUUCUUCACGAAGAACAGUUCGAGGUGCCUACUUUGGACCUCUAUAACUUGAUGAUCGUGUAACGUUUAUGUGAUCUAUCAAUUCCAGUGUGUAGACAACAUGUAGGACUACAACUCUAACACUUAACAUCAUCAUAAAAACAAGAAAUCAAGCAUCUAAAGUAUGGUCAAACCUUGUCAGAAAAAUUAACACUUAGAAAAUUCUGGGCUGCCCAGAAUUUUCUGGUCAAUGCCGGUCAACCCACUUUGACCUUAAAUAACUCUUAAUCCGUAAUAUAUAUGGACCUGAUUCUUUUUGGAGGUUAAAUACCACAUAACAAGAUACACAUAUCAACCUUUAGAACACAAAACACAUUAAAGAUAACCGAGAUAUAAGGCCUGACAUUUUCCAAAAUAAUAUUUUCUGGACACUUAGAAUAUUUUCUGGGUUUGAAGAACAGCCGGUCAAUGCCGGUCAACCCACUUUGACCGCUUAUAAAUCCCGAUCUACAAUAGCUAUGAACUUUAUUCCUUUUGGAGAUUAAAGACCACAUAUCAGGCUACCUAUAACAACUUUUAAACAACAAAACUCGUGAUCGACCAAAGAGUUAUAGCCUCUGACAUUUGGUGAAAAAUAACAGAAUUCGGUUUUUCCAACUUGUUUAAAUCUUCAAAUUCGUGCACUUUGAUGUUAUGGGUUCAUGAUUUUACAACCCAGAACAUUAAUAGACUCUCUAUUACACUACUUUAAACAAUCAAUUGCAUCAAUUAACAUCGAAUCGAAGGAUUUCUAGAAUUUAGGAUUUCCUACCUUUUCAAGCUUGAUUUUUGAUUUCUGGCUUCUUGAUGCUUCUGAUUUGUUGUUUGUGAUGGUUGGGCUUUGUUUAGGGACUGAUAUGCUAGAUAAUUUCGUUGGCUAGAGGUUGAGAGAGUUUGUCUAGAGAGUUUGUGAAAUUUUAGUGUGCAAAAUAAUGUUAACUUUCCAAUCUAUUUAUAAGCCAAAUUAAUUGCCUUGGAUGCUAAAUUGGUUGGUAUAAUUGAGGUGUAAUGGUAUAGUAGCAUGAGGGAAUUCUAGAAGGUGGUGGUUGGCUAGCUUUUGCAAAGAUUCUAGCAACAAUGCUACUAAUAAUACACUAAUAAACCAAAAGGGCAUUUUGGUUAUUUCGCAUAUAAUUUCAUGGGCAUUCUUGUACAUGGCAAUUAAAUCUAAUAUUUAAUCACUAGAUGGUAAUUCUUAUCAUUUACCAAUUACUUUUCAUCCUUUGGUAAAUUAAAACAUUUAUACAUUAACAUCGUAAUUAAACCCN